GGAGACUGAUGAGUUCCCGGGA
This 22-nucleotide microRNA is filed under the name Dasypus novemcinctus (nine-banded armadillo). Its description in RNAcentral is "Dno-Mir-873-v2_3p* (star (passenger))". Lineage: Eukaryota; Metazoa; Chordata; Mammalia; Cingulata; Dasypodidae. RNAcentral also lists the same sequence under 9 other names. The record is from RNAcentral.